This is a long non-coding RNA of Passer domesticus (house sparrow), 1999 nucleotides long. RefSeq lists it as uncharacterized. The record is from RefSeq and is a predicted model, not a curated record. Lineage: Eukaryota; Metazoa; Chordata; Aves; Passeriformes; Passeridae. The transcript is spliced from 3 exons.
CCCGCCCGGGAGCCGGGGCGUUUUGCUGGUUUGCUCAAUCCUGUGCGGGUUUGCAGGCCGGUCAGCCAGCAUGCGUGCUCUUGAGGUUGAAAAUUUUGGUCAGAAUCCCCAGGCAGAUUCACACAUUCCCACCAUCCCUCUGUCAGAUCAUAGAAUCAUUGAACAGUUUGGGUUGGAAGUGACCUUAAAGACAAUUUAAUUCCAACCCCAAAGCCACGGGCAGGGGCUCCUUCCCCUGGACCGGGUUGCUCAGAGCUGCAUCCGCCCUGGCCUUGACAGGAACGGGGCAGCCCCAGAGCCUCCGGGCAACCUGCUCCAGCGUACCACCACCCUCGCAGAGAAGGAUUUCUGCCUAACACCUAAACCUACUGAUAAAAACGAGAGCAGGCCCCAGGUACUAAAGUGAUUUCAGUGUUUAUUUUAAAGAAAAGGAAAGGCCUAAAGCAUGGGGGCCCUCGGGCCGAGCAGGAGCGUUCCCGUCGAGGAUGCUGCAGCGCCGGCGCUGGGUCUUCUUGAGCAGCGACGUAGCGAUGUCCCCGAUGUCCCAGAUGGAGCAGCACAAAAUUCUGUGGGUCAGAAGCCCCUUUUUAUCCUGUUUUUUGUCCCUUUGGAUUGGUUUCUUUUUGGAUCCUUUUUUGCAUGAAGGUUUAAGGCGCUUGAUUGGCCCCUUACAGUUCUGUCCAGGCUGCCUUGUUUCGCCUGUGGGGUGUGUUAUGGUACUACUUUUAACUACUCAUUUAACCCCUUUUACAACAUAACAACCAAACUAACAGUACAUGCUUAACGAUCUACCAACUAUUUUACAACAGUUUUUAACCUAUUUUUAACACUAUAUUUUUCAAUCUGAAGCCAUUCACCCUUUCUUAUCACUAAAGUUCCGGAUGAAGAGUCCCUCUCCACCUUCCCUGGAUGCCCUUUCACAUACUGAAGGCUGCUAUGAGGUCUCCUCUCCUCCAGGCUGAACAGCCCCAACUCUCUCAGCCUGUCUUUGUAGGAGAUGGUCUAGUCCCAGUCACACUGAUAAAUGGCUGAAUAUCUGUUGUGUGGGGCUUGAAAGGCUUGAAGAAACAAGCGGGGAAGAAUUUGUUUUCAAAGAUGAUCUUAAAAAGAAACAUCUUCAAAGGAAAAGGUAGAAACUCUCUGCAAGAAGAAGGAGAUGCUUCUUUACCCCAGUCUCCCUUUUGAAUGUCAAAUCUAAGGGUGAGAAUGGGAUGCAAUCAAAAGGGGUGAUUGCCAUUAGUAUUGAUAUACCAGAGUUUGCUUUUCAAUCAGUGCCUUUGGAUCUGAGGAGAGUUUGUGAAAAUUUUAUCAGCCUUUAUGCAACCUUACCAUUGGGCAAGAUGCUGUUUGAGUACCUGAGUAUAAUCUUUAUGUCACCUAAUUAUAGAAAACAACUCUAGAAGGGACCCUGACAAGUCCUCCAGUCCUUCUUUCACUGCUCUUCAUCUUAAACCAGUCUCACUUGUUCCUGAAAACCAGUGUCAUGAGGUCUCCAGAGUCACCUUGUGCAAUAAUUUCCAGUGCCCUAAUCUCUUUCUAUCAGCACUUUCUUUAUUGUCUAACCUAAAUAUCCCUUUAUGUUACUUUUUGUCCACAGUGAAUGCAAAGGGCCAUGUAUCAUUGCAGUGCCUUGUAAGAAUUUCUCAUGUACAUGAAAACUGUUAGUGCGUCUCUUUUCUCUCUUCUUUAGGGAUGAACCUCCAACAGUAGCACAAAGAGAAAUAAUGACAACAAAAACAACCACGAGGUCCAAUUUGCAGAUAUGUCCUUGCAAGUUAUCUACAUUGUGUAUUUUAUUCCCUCACCCUGCGAUAAACAUAGACCAGUAAUCUGAAUUAGAGAGGCUUCUGUGUGAUUCCCCUGCCAGAGCUGUUUCUGCCGCGGGCAGAGCUGGGGCGGCCCGGGCUGGGGCGGGCGCGGCGGCGGCAGAACCGCGGGCCGCUGGUGCCACCUGGUGCCAGCCCUGCCCGCACCGGGACGGGCCGGGAUGCCUCGGGAG